This 253-nucleotide ribosomal RNA is filed under the name uncultured bacterium. RNAcentral describes it as "partial 16S ribosomal RNA". It matches the Rfam family "Archaeal small subunit ribosomal RNA", at positions 474 to 727 of the family's 1478-position model. The record is from RNAcentral.
UACCAGCACCCCGAGUGGUCGGGACGAUUAUUGGGCCUAAAGCAUCCGUAGCCGGUCCUACAAGUCUUCCGUUAAAUCCACCUGCUCAACAGAUGGGCUGCGGAAGAUACUAUAGGGCUAGGAGGCGGGAGAGGCAAGCGGUACUCAGUGGGUAGGGGUAAAAUCCUUUGAUCCAUUGAAGACCACCAGUGGCGAAGGCGGCUUGCCAGAACGCGCUCGACGGUGAGGGAUGAAAGCUGGGGGAGCAAACCGG